This is a non-coding RNA of Xenopus laevis (African clawed frog), 74 nucleotides long. The record is from Rfam. Lineage: Eukaryota; Metazoa; Chordata; Amphibia; Anura; Pipidae.
GGCGCUGUGGCUUAGUUGGUUAAAGCGCCUGUCUAGUAGACAGGAGAUCCUGAAUUCAAAUCUCAGCAGUGCCU